UAUCACCGGUUACCGUACGAUCAGCGAUGUUAAGCAACGUCGAGCCUCGUCAGUACCUAGAUGGGUGACCGUUUGGGAAUAUCAGGUGCAGUAA
Non-coding RNA from Acanthosepion pharaonis, 94 nucleotides. The record is from the annotation of a GenBank genome assembly. Lineage: Eukaryota; Metazoa; Mollusca; Cephalopoda; Sepiida; Sepiidae.